AUUGAACGCUGGCGGAAUGCUUUACACAUGCAAGUCGAACGGCAGCACGGACUUCGGUCUGGUGGCGAGUGGCGAACGGGUGAGUAAUGUAUCGGAACGUGCCCAGUCGUGGGGGAUAACGUAGUGAAAAUUACGCUAAUACCGCAUACGAUCUAUGGAUGAAAGCGGGGGAUCGCAAGACCUCGCGCGAUUGGAGCGGCCGAUAUCAGAUUAGGUAGUUGGUGGGGUAAAGGCCCACCAAGCCAACGAUCUGUAGCUGGUCUGAGAGGACGGCCAGCAACACUGGAACGGAGACACGGGCCAGACUCCUACGGGAGGCAGGAGUGGGGAAUUUUGGACAAUGGGCGAAAGCCUGAUCCAGCCAUUCCGCGUGCAGGAUGAAGGCCCUCGGGUUGUAAACUGCUUUUGUACAGAACGAAAAGGUUUCUACUAAUACUAGGAGCUCAUGACGGUACUGUAAGAAUAAGCACCGGCUAACUACGUGCCAGCCGCCGCCGUAA
This 500-nucleotide ribosomal RNA is filed under the name uncultured bacterium. RNAcentral's name for it is "partial 16S ribosomal RNA". It matches the Rfam family "Bacterial small subunit ribosomal RNA", at positions 30 to 523 of the family's 1533-position model. The record is from RNAcentral.